Molecule: ribosomal RNA, 313 nt
Filed under: Vibrio cholerae O1 biovar El Tor
Lineage: Bacteria; Pseudomonadati; Pseudomonadota; Gammaproteobacteria; Vibrionales; Vibrionaceae
Description: bacterial SSU rRNA
Rfam family: Bacterial small subunit ribosomal RNA
Source: RNAcentral
UUUAAUUGAAGAGUUUGAUCAUGGCUCAGAUUGAACGCUGGCGGCAGGCCUAACACAUGCAAGUCGAGCGGCAGCACAGAGGAACUUGUUCCUUGGGUGGCGAGCGGCGGACGGGUGAGUAAUGCCUGGGAAAUUGCCCGGUAGAGGGGGAUAACCAUUGGAAACGAUGGCUAAUACCGCAUAACCUCGCAAGAGCAAAGCAGGGGACCUUCGGGCCUUGCGCUACCGGAUAUGCCCAGGUGGGAUUAGCUAGUUGGUGAGGUAAGGGCUCACCAAGGCGACGAUCCCUAGCUGGUCUGAGAGGAUGAUCAGC